UACGAAGGGGGCGAGCGUUGCUCGGAAUCACUGGGCGUAAAGCGCACGUAGGCGGAUUGCUAAGUCAGGGGUGAAAUCCUGGAGCUCAACUCCAGAACUGCCUUUGAUACUGGCGACCUUGAGUCCGGGAGAGGUGAGUGGAACUGCGAGUGUAGAGGUGAAAUUCGUAGAUAUUCGCAAGAACACCAGUGGCGAAGGCGGCUCACUGGCCCGGUACUGACGCUGAGGUGCGAAAGCGUGGGGAGCAAACAGG
Molecule: ribosomal RNA, 253 nt
Filed under: uncultured bacterium
Lineage: Bacteria
Description: partial 16S ribosomal RNA
Rfam family: Bacterial small subunit ribosomal RNA
Source: RNAcentral